RNAcentral lists this ribosomal RNA (468 nucleotides) under uncultured bacterium. RNAcentral's name for it is "partial 16S ribosomal RNA". It matches the Rfam family "Bacterial small subunit ribosomal RNA", at positions 28 to 507 of the family's 1533-position model. The record is from RNAcentral.
GACGAACGCUGGCGGCGUGCUUAACACAUGCAAGUCGAACGGAAAGUCCCUGCUUUUUUGUGGUUCUCGUGUGGCGCUCGUGUGUGUAUCACGUGUGUUACCUGCCCUUUACUUUUUGUUAUCUUCAGGUAACUGGUUCUAUUACCGGAUAGUAGCUCCUGCUGCAUGGUGUGUGUUGGUUAUUUUCGGCGGUUGGGGAUGUACUCGCGGCUUAUCAGCUUGUUGGUGGAGUAGUGGCUUACCAAGGCUUUGACGGGUAGCCGGCCUGAGAGGGUGACCGGCGACAAGGGGACUGAGAUACGGAGCAGAAUCCUACGGGAGGAAGCAGUGGGGAAUAUUGCAGAAUGGGCGGAAGCCUGAUGAAGAAACGCCGCGUGCGGGAUGACGGCCUUCGGGUUGUAAACCGCGUUCGACUGUGACGAAGCGUGAGUGACGGUAAUGGGUAAAGAAGCACCGGCUAACUACGUG